Molecule: ribosomal RNA, 826 nt
Filed under: uncultured bacterium
Lineage: Bacteria
Description: bacterial SSU rRNA
Rfam family: Bacterial small subunit ribosomal RNA
Source: RNAcentral
CAUGCAAGUCGAACGAGAGAGAAGGAGCUUGCUUCUUCGAUCGAGUGGCGAACGGGUGAGUAACGCGUGAGGAACCUGCCUCAAAGAGGGGGACAACAGUUGGAAACGACUGCUAAUACCGCAUAAGCCCACGGGUCGGCAUCGACCUGAGGGAAAAGGAGCAAUCCGCUUUGAGAUGGCCUCGCGUCCGAUUAGCUAGUUGGUGAGGUAACGGCCCACCAAGGCGACGAUCGGUAGCCGGACUGAGAGGUUGAACGGCCACAUUGGGACUGAGACACGGCCCAGACUCCUACGGGAGGCAGCAGUGGGGAAUAUUGCACAAUGGGGGAAACCCUGAUGCAGCGACGCCGCGUGGAGGAAGAAGGUCUUCGGAUUGUAAACUCCUGUUGUUGAGGAAGAUAAUGACGGUACUCAACAAGGAAGUGACGGCUAACUACGUGCCAGCAGCCGCGGUAAAACGUAGGUCACAAGCGUUGUCCGGAAUUACUGGGUGUAAAGGGAGCGCAGGCGGGAAGACAAGUUGGAAGUGAAAUCUAUGGGCUCAACCCAUAAACUGCUUUCAAAACUGUUUUUCUUGAGUAGUGCAGAGGUAGGCGGAAUUCCCGGUGUAGCGGUGGAAUGCGUAGAUAUCGGGAGGAACACCAGUGGCGAAGGCGGCCUACUGGGCACCAACUGACGCUGAGGCUCGAAAGUGUGGGUAGCAAACAGGAUUAGAUACCCUGGUAGUCCACACCGUAGACGAUGAUUACUAGGUGUUGGAGGAUUGACCCCUUCAGUGCCGCAGUUAACACAAUAAGUAAUCCACCUGGGGAGUACGACCGCAAGG